UACGAAGGGGGCUAGCGUUGCUCGGAAUUACUGGGCGUAAAGCGCGCGUAGGCGGAUCGUUAAGUCGGGGGUGAAAUCCUGGAGCUCAACUCCAGAACUGCCUUUGAUACUGGUAAGCUCGAGUCCGGGAGAGGUGAGUGGAACUGCGAGUGUAGAGGUGAAAUUCGUAGAUAUUCGCAAGAACACCAGUGGCGAAGGCGGCUCACUGGCCCGGUACUGACGCUGAGGUGCGAAAGCGUGGGGAGCAAACAGG
Molecule: ribosomal RNA, 253 nt
Filed under: uncultured bacterium
Lineage: Bacteria
Description: partial 16S ribosomal RNA
Rfam family: Bacterial small subunit ribosomal RNA
Source: RNAcentral